RNAcentral lists this ribosomal RNA (274 nucleotides) under uncultured Anoxybacillus sp. Its description in RNAcentral is "partial 16S ribosomal RNA". It matches the Rfam family "Bacterial small subunit ribosomal RNA", at positions 1110 to 1382 of the family's 1533-position model. Lineage: Bacteria; Bacillati; Bacillota; Bacilli; Caryophanales; Anoxybacillaceae. The record is from RNAcentral.
CCUAGUUGCCAGCAUUCAGUUGGGCACGUCUAAGGUGGACGUGCCGGCUAAAAGUCGGAGGAAGGUGGGGAUGACGUCAAAUCAUCAUGCCCCUUAUGACCUGGGCUACACACGUGCUACAAUGGGCGGUACAAAGGGUCGCGAACCCGCGAGGGGGAGCCAAUCCCAAAAAGCCGCUCUCAGUUCGGAUUGCAGGCUGCAACUCGCCUGCAUGAAGCCGGAAUCGCUAGUAAUCGCGGAUCAGCACGCCGCGGUGAAUACGUUCCCGGGCCUU